RNAcentral lists this ribosomal RNA (460 nucleotides) under uncultured bacterium. Its description in RNAcentral is "partial 16S ribosomal RNA". It matches the Rfam family "Bacterial small subunit ribosomal RNA", at positions 338 to 795 of the family's 1533-position model. The record is from RNAcentral.
CCUACGGGGGGCAGCAGUGAGGAAUAUUGGUCAAUGGACGAGAGUCUGAACCAGCCAAGUAGCGUGAAGGAUGACUGCCCUAUGGGUUGUAAACUUCUUUUAUAUGGGAAUAAAAUGUUCCACGUGUGGGAUUUUGUAUGUACCAUAUGAAUAAGGAUCGGCUAACUCCGUGCCAGCAGCCGCGGUAAUACGGAGGAUCCGAGCGUUAUCCGGAUUUAUUGGGUUUAAAGGGAGCGUAGGUGGAUUGUUAAGUCAGUUGUGAAAGUUUGCGGCUCAACCGUAAAAUUGCAGUUGAAACUGGCAGUCUUGAGUACAGUAGAGGGGGGCGGAAUGCGUGGUGUAGCGGUGAAAUGCUUAGAUAUCACGAAGAACUCCGAUUGCGAAGGCAGUUCACUGGACUGCAACUGAAACUGAGGCUCGAAAGUGUGGGUAUCAAACAGGAUUAGAUACCCCUGUAGUC